UACGUAGGGGGCGAGCGUUGUCCGGAGUUACUGGGCGUAAAGCGCACGCAGGCGGUUUCGUACGUCUGGAGUGACAGUUCCCGGCUCAACUGGGAAAGGCCUUCGGAAACGGCGAGACUUGAGGGCUUCAGAGGGACACGGAAUUCCGGGUGGAGUGGUGAAAUGCGUAGAGAUCCGGAGGAACACCAAUGGCGAAGGCAGUGUCCUGGGAAGCAUCUGACGCUCAGGUGCGAAAGCAUGGGGAGCGAACAGG
RNAcentral lists this ribosomal RNA (253 nucleotides) under uncultured bacterium. RNAcentral describes it as "partial 16S ribosomal RNA". It matches the Rfam family "Bacterial small subunit ribosomal RNA", at positions 524 to 776 of the family's 1533-position model. The record is from RNAcentral.